Molecule: microRNA precursor, 150 nt
Filed under: Populus trichocarpa (black cottonwood)
Lineage: Eukaryota; Viridiplantae; Streptophyta; Magnoliopsida; Malpighiales; Salicaceae
Description: miR482b stem-loop (ptc-MIR482b)
Gene: ptc-MIR482b
Source: miRBase by way of RNAcentral
GAGAAGAGCCGGAGGGGGAGACUGAGACCUACUGGAAGUUGUGGGCAUGAGGUGUUUGGCAAGAAAAUGGAUCUUUUCCUUAUGAUGAUUUCUUACCAAUACCUCUCAUGCCAAUGAUUUCCAGCAGUUCCUCCCUUUCCCUUCUUUCUC